RNAcentral lists this ribosomal RNA (450 nucleotides) under uncultured bacterium. RNAcentral's name for it is "bacterial SSU rRNA". It matches the Rfam family "Bacterial small subunit ribosomal RNA", at positions 335 to 802 of the family's 1533-position model. The record is from RNAcentral.
ACUCCUACGGGAGGCAGCAGUGGGGAAUAUUGCACAAUGGGCGCAAGCCUGAUGCAGCAACGCCGUGUGAGUGAAGAAGGUUUUCGGAUACGUAAAACUCUGUCCUAAGGGAAGAAACAAAUGACGGUACCUUAGGAGGAAGCCCCGGCUAACUACGUGCCAGCAGCCGCGGUAAUACGUAGGGGCAAGCGUUAUCCGGAAUCACUGGGCGUAAAGGGUGCGUAGGCGGCUUAGCAAGCCAGGGGUGAAAGGCAUUGGCUCAACCAAUGUAAGCCUUUGGAACUGUUAAGCUUGAGUGCAGGAGAGGUAAGUGGAAUUCCUAGUGUAGAGGUGAAAUUCGUAGAUAUUAGGAGGAACACCAGUGGCGAAGGCGACUUACUGGACUGUAACUGACGCUGAUGCACGAAAGCGUGGGUAGCGAACAGGAUUAGAUACCCUGGUAGACUGUCA